Molecule: non-coding RNA, 156 nt
Organism: Pelobates cultripes (western spadefoot toad)
Lineage: Eukaryota; Metazoa; Chordata; Amphibia; Anura; Pelobatidae
Source: the annotation of a GenBank genome assembly
GCAGAUACAUUCCAGCCAAUCAGCAGCAGACCCUCCCUCCUUGACCAUCCCACCUCCUGGACAGCAUCCAUUUUGAAGCUGCAUUCUUAGUGAGCUGUCCAGGAGGUGGGAGGGUCUGGGAGGGAGGGUCUGCUGCUGAUUGGCUGGAAUGUGCCU